RNAcentral lists this ribosomal RNA (338 nucleotides) under uncultured Prevotella sp. RNAcentral's name for it is "bacterial SSU rRNA". It matches the Rfam family "Bacterial small subunit ribosomal RNA", at positions 8 to 338 of the family's 1533-position model. Lineage: Bacteria; Pseudomonadati; Bacteroidota; Bacteroidia; Bacteroidales; Prevotellaceae. The record is from RNAcentral.
AGAGUUUGAUCAUGGCUCAGGAUGAACGCUAGCUACAGGCUUAACACAUGCAAGUCGAGGGGCAGCAUGUUGGUUGCUUGCAACCAAUGAUGGCGGCCGGCGCACGGGUGAGUAACGCGUAUCCAACCUUCCCCUUAGUAGGGCAUAGCCCGUAGAAAUGCGGAUUAAUACCCUAUGUUGUAUAUUGAGGACAUCUGAUUUAUACCAAAGGUUCACCGCUAAGGGAUGGGGAUGCGUCUGAUUAGGUUGUUGGCGGGGUAACGGCCCACCAAGCCUACGAUCAGUAGGGGUUCUGAGAGGAAGGUCCCCCACAUUGGAACUGAGCCAGGAUCAAACUC